RNAcentral lists this long non-coding RNA (1501 nucleotides) under Olea europaea subsp. europaea. The record is from RNAcentral. Lineage: Eukaryota; Viridiplantae; Streptophyta; Magnoliopsida; Lamiales; Oleaceae.
UAACCGAACACAAACAAGCAAACAAUUUUCAUUUAUAUUCGUGGCUCAUUUGGUAGGUUCAAAAAAAAAAAAAAAAAAAAGAGGCUACCAGGAAUAUUAAGUGAAACAUGAACGGAACAGGCAAAAAUAACGUACCAGAAGUAAAUCCAUAUGUAGCCAACAAAGCUUUAUUUACAAUAAUAAGUCCAACAGAAGUAACGAUAUUGAACAUCGAAGCAUCAACAUCAAGAGCCGGUUUUUGGUCAUCCUUGCCUGUCAGAGGCAUAUUCUUCCACUGCUUUAAAAGAGACUAGAUUGCUAAUGAUCUUCAGCUUCAGGAAACGACAAAUAUCAGAUCAAUUUAGAGCUGGAACAAGAUCAUUAGGUCCUAAAUCUAUUUCUCUAUUGACUAACAAAGUGAAUUCCCAGACAAUUUUUCAGUGUCAAUAUUAUACUGACCAAGAUAUAUAAUACCACAUAAGCAUAGUUUCGCCAAAAUUGAACGACAAGUCCACAGUUAUCGAAGGUCUAUCACAUCUCACAAAAAGUUAUCCCCUCUAUGUAUUGACCAUAUGACAAAAGGAAAAACUAAAUUUCCCAGUUAGUGGAGUUGAUUGAAAUCCUUUAAAUGUUUGAUACACUAAUUACAUAUUCACCCAUCACAUAUUUAAUCUUGCAUAUAAGAAAUGAUCGAAAUAAAACGUCAAUUAUUCAGGUUAAGUAUAAAUAUAACAAUAAAACAGCUAGUACUAUCGUCCAAGAAGUUAUAAUUCAAUCUAUCCAUAUAAAAUCCCCUAUUUCCAUCACAGAUCCCCGAAAAACACACUUCAAUGAUCAUGAUAAUGCUCAAAAUCCAAAAACCCAAAAAUUAAAUCAACCAAAACAAGCAAAAAGAUUUCCAAUAGUUACAUGUCUAACAAAAUUCUAUCAAAUUCGCUGCACCCAGAAGGAAAAGAUAAAAAUUAACACAUGUAACUAUAUAGAGCCCAAUCUUAAACUCAAUCUUCCAAAUAUCAUACACAAUCAUAGACUUGCAUCACUCGAUUUCAGACAACAAUUCACGCAAAUGGGUUUUCUUAAUGUCCUCAACAUGUGCGUGAAAAUGCACAAGUACACCACAUAAAUAGACACAGCUAAAUCAAAUCGAAAAAUGCCAAGAGUUGAAAUUUUGAAUUUACCGUCAAAUCCUUCCACGGUUCGGUUUCAAAGAUUAGAGAAGAUGAAGCCAUCUACCAGGAUUUCAACGCCAUUUCACAGAUGAAACUAUAAAUUAAAAGGCUAAUACAGGUUUGUACAGGGGCGGAACUGCAAGGCCUGGCCUGCAACAGAUCUCGCGAUCGAGAAGAUUGAAUGGCAGAGAUUGAGAAGACUGGCCGUGUAGUGUCGUCGUCUAAUCGUGAAUCGUCCCAGAGCUGAGACGCCUGGCAAAGUCGUGGAAAGGCGGAGUUGACGUAGCGGUGGUGGAUGAAAUGCCACGUUUUAGGGCAUUGUAAACUUUCAAAUUUUUUACAGUGAACACUAA